Long non-coding RNA from Capsicum annuum, 665 nucleotides. RefSeq lists it as uncharacterized. The transcript has 2 exons. The record is from RefSeq and is a predicted model, not a curated record. NCBI's taxonomy places the organism in Eukaryota, Viridiplantae, Streptophyta, Magnoliopsida, Solanales, Solanaceae.
UAGUUUGUCCUUUUUCUAAAGAAGAGGCUGCAGAUGCAACAAAACACAAAAGGCUGAAAAAACUCCAAUCAAAGAAAACCAAGUGACAAAGAACUUAAUGAAUAUACACGCUACGUGUCUGAGUUUGGUCCAACCGAGCCUACAUAGGAGGAAGCUAUUCAAAUUCGGACCGAAAAAGUGGCGGGAGGAAGACAAGGGGAGAACCUAUGGGUUGGGUUCUCGAAAUGAAUUGCAACGCCUCGAGGUUGGAUGGGCUGGUAUUGGUUCCUCGCGCCAGGCUGAGGCGAUUAAUGGUGUUCAGCUCGCUGAUAUGUCGCAACAGAUUGCACAGCUUACACGUGUCGUGGCACAAUCUGUUGCUCAAACUGAAGUCAUGUGCAAGACCAUCGAGGAACUUAAGAAACAAAUGGUUAGCAUGACUCAUCGUUGUCGUCACCGUUCUCUAUCUCCCGAUUCAAGUAGCGAAGAAGAAACAGAAAGUGAUGAGGAGUUUGUUGGGGCUACUCCUUAGUGUUUUUGGAUUUGGCUUCUAGACACUUUUUAAACAUUCUUUAACUUUUAACUAUUGGAAAACCUUCAAGAUCACUUAAGUGUUUUGAUGUUGUUGGAUUAAUUGUUAAGUGUUUUGGAUGUUGUUUAAUUGAAUUGCUUAAAUGUUUUGAUGA